Molecule: non-coding RNA, 22 nt
Filed under: Arabidopsis thaliana (thale cress)
Lineage: Eukaryota; Viridiplantae; Streptophyta; Magnoliopsida; Brassicales; Brassicaceae
Source: RNAcentral
UGAGAUACUGAAUUUCUCUGCC